UUUACUAUUUCUUCUGUCUAUCCAACUUUAUCUACUUCCACCGUUGCUUAGGGUGCCGGCAGCAUCCCAUAUGAUUUGUGCUUCAUUUGAAACUUAAAACAAAUAUUUUAUGUCAUUAUGGUCAAAGAAAAUAGAACAUAAAUUGCAAUAGACAGAACUAUGGUCAUGUAGCCUUUUUCUUUUUGUCAUAUCUUAACUUGAGUUGAAGAUCUUUUCCGCCCCUUCAUCGGCUAUAAAGAUAUCAGAGUUGUUCACAAGGAGCCCAGACGAAGGGGAGAUAAAGCUACGGUAUUAUGCUUUGUAGAGUUCAUUGAAGCAAGAUAUUCCCGUGCUGCAAUGGAAGCUCUUCAAGGUUACAAGUUCGACGACAAAAAACCCGAUUCCCUAGCUUUGAAGAUUCAAUUUGCACAUUUUCCUUUCCGUUUACCAUCGAACCACGACGACAGGCGAUGAAUACAUAAGUUAAGCAACCCUUUCCUGAUUUUUAAGGGCUUUGUUGAUCCUGUGGAAUAGCAAAGCUUAUCCCGGACAAAAUUGGGAACUAGCUGGUAUGAAGGAAGCAUCUAGCAAACUGGUAGUUUUCAGUUUUUCAUAUGGGCCUGGAUGAGCUCAUACGAACUCUUGCCCCUCCCUUUACUUGGGGAGAAAUAUCAAAUGGGUCUUUUCCAAGUUCCUGUUUGGCAUUGAUAUCUUGUUCUGUCCGUCAGGUUUCAGAUAUCUUCUGCUUUGGAUCAUGAAAAUGACAUAUAGGUACAAAGAUUCUUGACGAAAGUAAUAAAACUUCAUUUGAGUGGUGACUGGUUUCGUAUGAAACCAACCAACCCCAUUGAAUAAA
Cucurbita pepo subsp. pepo (vegetable marrow) is the source of this 835-nucleotide non-coding RNA. The record is from RefSeq and is a predicted model, not a curated record. Lineage: Eukaryota; Viridiplantae; Streptophyta; Magnoliopsida; Cucurbitales; Cucurbitaceae.